GGGCCCGCACAAGCGGUGGAGCAUGUGGUUUAAUUCGAUGAUACGCGAGGAACCUUACCAGGGCUUAAAUGUAAGUUGCAUGGAUCAGAGAUGAUCCUUUCUUCGGACCACUUACAAGGUGCUGCAUGGUUGUCGUCAGCUCGUGCCGUGAGGUGUCAGGUUAAGUCCUAUAACGAGCGCAACCCCUAUCGUUAGUUGCCAGCAAGUAAAGUUGGGAACUCUAGCGAAACUGCCGGUGCAAACCGUGAGGAAGGUGGGGAUGACGUCAAAUCAUCACGGCCCUUACGUUCUGGGCUACACACGUGCUACAAUGGCCGGUACAGAAAGCAGCCACUAUGCGAAUAGGAGCUAAUCUUUAAAACCGGUCUCAGUUCGGAUCGCAGUCUGCAACUCGACUGCGUGAAGCUGGAAUCGCUAGUAA
Molecule: ribosomal RNA, 421 nt
Filed under: uncultured bacterium
Lineage: Bacteria
Description: bacterial SSU rRNA
Rfam family: Bacterial small subunit ribosomal RNA
Source: RNAcentral